RNAcentral lists this unclassified non-coding RNA (419 nucleotides) under Hevea brasiliensis (rubber tree). Lineage: Eukaryota; Viridiplantae; Streptophyta; Magnoliopsida; Malpighiales; Euphorbiaceae. The record is from RNAcentral.
CCUCUGUAAGCCUAGUGAGCCACAACGAAGCCAUAGAACAAAAUUCAGCGAGAUUGGGUGGUGAUAUUGCAGUGAUCAGAUGCACUUUAAUUUAGAAGUCAUGGAAAAGCAUAAUAGCAUCGUCAAGCUUCAUCUGUGAGGACUCCAUCAAAAUUCUCAUUUUUUUAAGUUUCUCGUAUUUAUCUUUCAUCGGCCCCUCGCGUCUAUCAAUGGGCAGAUUUACAAUCUCCUUUUGCUGUUCUAGCUCAUAAGCUACUCGAAGACUCAAAUUUAAGGCAGCAUGGAACAGCUCAUCCAGUACAUGUUCCCAAAGAACAAGCUUAUUUACCUUCCACAACAAGAAAGUUGCUGUUCCCACAACUAAUUUCUCCAUAAGCAAGUAGUCAUCCUGCCACAGCUUAUAAAGAAUCUUAGUUGUU